AUGAACGCUAGCGACAGGCCUAACACAUGCAAGUCGAGGGGCAGCACAAGGAGCAAUCUGAGGUGGCGACCGGCGCACGGGUGAGUAACACGUAUGCAACCUGCCUGUAAGCGGGGAAUAACCCGUUGAAAGACGGACUAAUACCGCAUAAUACUAAAUUACUGCAUGGUAAUUUAUUUAAACAUUUAUGGCUUACAGAUGGGCAUGCGCAUGAUUAGCUAGUUGGAGAGGUAACGGCUCCCCAAGGCAACGAUCAUUAGGGGUUCUGAGAGGAAGGUCCCCCACACUGGUACUGAGACACGGACCAGACUCCUACGGGAGGCAGCAGUGAGGAAUAUUGGUCAAUGGACGAGAGUCUGAACCAGCCAAGUCGCGUGCAGGAAGAAUGUCCUUAAUGGAUUGUAAACUGCUUUUGCAGGGGAAUAAAGUGCAUCACGUGUGAUGUUUUGUAUGUACUCUGCGGAUAAGGAUCGGCUAACUCCGUGCCAGCAGCAGC
RNAcentral lists this ribosomal RNA (496 nucleotides) under uncultured bacterium. RNAcentral describes it as "bacterial SSU rRNA". It matches the Rfam family "Bacterial small subunit ribosomal RNA", at positions 29 to 518 of the family's 1533-position model. The record is from RNAcentral.